UAAUACGUAGGGGGCAAGCGUUGUUCGGAAUUACUGGGCGUAAAGGGCGCGUAGGCGGCACGGCAAGUCAGGAGUGAAAGCCCUGGGCUCAACCCGGGAACUGCUUUUGAAACUGCCGAGCUAGAGUGCGGAAGGGGCAACUGGAAUUCCCAGUGUAGCGGUGAAAUGCGUAGAUAUUGGGAAGAACACCUGAGGCGAAGGCGGGUUGCUGGGCCGACACUGACGCUGAGGCGCGAGAGCCAGGGGAGCGAACGGGA
Molecule: ribosomal RNA, 257 nt
Filed under: uncultured prokaryote
Description: partial 16S ribosomal RNA
Rfam family: Bacterial small subunit ribosomal RNA
Source: RNAcentral